AUUGGACGCUGGCGGAAUGCUUUACACAUGCAAGUCGAACGGUAGAGGGGGCAACCCCUCGAGAGUGGCGAACGGGUGAGUAAUAUAUCGGAACGUGCCCAGUCGUGGGGGAUAACGUAGCGAAAGUUACGCUAAUACCGCAUACGAUCUAAGGAUGAAAGCGGGGGAUCGCAAGACCUCGCGCGAUUGGAGCGGCCGAUAUCAGAUUAGGUAGUUGGUGGGGUAACGGCUCACCAAGCCAACGAUCUGUAGCUGGCCUGAGAGGACGACCAGCCAAACUGGAACUGAGACACGGUCCAGACUCCUACGGGAGGCAGCAGUGGGGAAUUUUGGACAAUGGACGCAAGUUUGAUCCAGCCAUUCCGCGUGCAGGAUGAAGGCCCUCGGGUUGUAAACUGCUUUUGUACGGAACGAAAAGGUCUCUCUUAAUACGGGGGGCUCAUGACGGUACCGUAAGAAUAAGCACCGGCUAACUACGUGCCAGCCGCCGCCGUAA
This 496-nucleotide ribosomal RNA is filed under the name uncultured bacterium. Its description in RNAcentral is "partial 16S ribosomal RNA". It matches the Rfam family "Bacterial small subunit ribosomal RNA", at positions 30 to 523 of the family's 1533-position model. The record is from RNAcentral.